GGACCAGGCUUCAUUCCCC
Molecule: non-coding RNA, 19 nt
Filed under: Carica papaya (papaya)
Lineage: Eukaryota; Viridiplantae; Streptophyta; Magnoliopsida; Brassicales; Caricaceae
Also listed under: 3 other names
Gene: cpa-miR166e
Source: miRBase by way of RNAcentral